This is a long non-coding RNA of Vigna angularis (adzuki bean), 1114 nucleotides long. RefSeq lists it as uncharacterized. Lineage: Eukaryota; Viridiplantae; Streptophyta; Magnoliopsida; Fabales; Fabaceae. The transcript has 5 exons. The record is from RefSeq and is a predicted model, not a curated record.
UCCGGUGUAAAUUACAUUCAUUUCAAUCUCUCUCUUCUCCCGAUGAUACUUUCUUUGUUUCGGCCAUUUCUUUCUCGUUCGUUGUCCUUCGCUUUCCUUAUCUGCAACUCCUCAAAUUUAAACCAUUGAAACCCUCUUUCUCAUUCUUCUAACGAAGGUCAGGUCCAUCGAUUUGUUCUGCCGCGUCCACUCCUUCGAAGUCGCAGCAUUCCUACACUAUCACUCUCCUUCCUAGCGACGGUAUUGGCGCCGAAGUCAUCUCUGUCGCCAAAGACGUUCUUCUCCUUGCCGGUUAUCUCAAAGUAUGGAUGCUGAUUUCACCAAUUGUGAGAGAGAACAAAGUAAGCAAACUGCUGAGCACAUUUCUUAAAGAUUUUUCUUUUCUUUUCUUUAAAAGGGCAACUGUUCGUGAUGAAUUCAAUUCGGGCACCACGAUCUGGUUCAGGAGUAGCUACAAAGUCAUCACCAGGAGUCAUUAGAGUAGCUGUCCCUAACGAUUGCCACCAACAAUCGCAAGUGAAUGGCAUCAACACGAUCAUCUUCCCCACCUGUUGUCCACUGUCAGAGGCCACAGAAGAGCUCCCGUACGACUAGGAGAGCAAAUUUCGUGUCCACUGUGUCAAGUAUUGAUGAUUCCCCUGCAUUGCAUUCUGUAUCAGAUGUGUCUGAGAUGAUCAUCCAGAGAGUUUUCUGUCAUCCAUGCAAACUAUAAUGGCUAUUCUUUUAGAAGAAAGUGAGGAUGUAAAUCCAGAUCUUUUGUCUAUUUUAUUGUCUACACUAGGCCGUGACAGAAGAAUGAGAUGUUUAUGGGGCUGCGAGGAAGCUUUCCACGAGUAUUGUACAACAAUGCGUGGAAAAACUUGAACCGAGUAUCAAACAAUUUUCACAAUCAUUAAUAUCACGAGACAGUCAGGAAAUGAAAAGUCAAGUUCAAUACGAUGCAAUUAUCUAUUGUUGUGCUCCUUAGAUCCUAUAUGAAGUUUUUUCCUUUUGCGUAAUUAUUUUAUGUGUAAUAUGUUAAGUAAUUAGGUAAACAUAUAGGAAUUUUGUUAGGUAAAUAUUACAUUCGGUUUGGAACUAUUUUGAUGUGUUAAUAAUAAAAAAAUAUUUAUUA